GCAACCAUCAGGUGGCCUUCUUAUCGUUGUCUUUGAUAUUCAUACCGUUGUCAAAGAUUUCGUCCCCAGUGGGAUUUUUGCGGGCACCGCUUUCGAGGAGUUUAUUUUGUUUUAUUUAUUUAUUUAUUUUUUUUUUUUUUUAUUGUUGGUUCACAAGAGGUGUGGUGGUAGCCGAGAAGAGACACAUGACUCGAUAGUGAAGUUCGGAUGAAGAGGAGAAGGUGAAGGAGCAACGGCAGUGCGAGAAGAAAGUAGUCAAGAUCGCAAGUGCGGAUAACAUAGGCGAUUUAUUUGCGACCUCGACGACGGUCGGACCGUCUCGUCGAUGGAGAAAGAUUCACGAAUGACGCCGUAACGGAGGGAGCCGGCUGGUGCACGGAUACACCGGUGCUCGAGAGGGACUCGCAUCUCACGCAUCGCCACGACUUGCGCUCACCAAAUCCAAAAAAAUAGCAUCGGCAACGGACAACGAGGAUUUUGCUUCGGCGAAUCGAGCCGGGGGCGGCUAGCCCUUUCGGCGAGCUCGAAGGAUGCAGCUCCCAGGCGGGAGCACGAGGAUUUCGCCGUCCCGAGUACCGGGCAUACACCUCGGCAUCAUAAAUGCCAACGACAUCAUAGACAAGUGCGAUUGGAGCGAUAAUAAGACAAAGAGUCGUAAGCUGGCAGCCCAGGGCACGGGGGUGGACAGGAGGGGGCUGUCGAUAGGCCGCUGUCAAGGGCCGGCCUGCACCGAGCGGUCGUUGGCCCCGUUUCAUUGGCGAAAGCCAAGGAUCGCCGAAUAGCCCGCUGCAGAAAGAGAGAAAGGAAGGAACGAUUGUCAUAAGUAUUAGGAUUGAAAAAUAUUCUUGAUUCGCGCGGAAAAACGAGGAGCGAGAGAUCAAGCGAAUCGCGCGGUGCAUGUAAGCAGACGAGGGAGAAUAAU
Long non-coding RNA from Copidosoma floridanum, 922 nucleotides. The record is from RefSeq and is a predicted model, not a curated record. NCBI's taxonomy places the organism in Eukaryota, Metazoa, Arthropoda, Insecta, Hymenoptera, Encyrtidae.